UAGCCUUUCGAAAGAAAGAUUAAUACCCGAUGGCAUAAUAGAACCGCAUGGUUUGAUUAUUAAAGAAUUUCGGUUAUCGAUGGGGAUGCGUUCCAUUAGGCAGUUGGUGGGGUAAUGGCCCACCAAACCUUCGAUGGAUAGGGGUUCUGAGAGGAAGGUCCCCCACAUUGGAACUGAGACACGGUCCAAACUCCUACGGGAGGCAGCAUG
This 210-nucleotide ribosomal RNA is filed under the name uncultured bacterium. RNAcentral's name for it is "partial 16S ribosomal RNA". It matches the Rfam family "Bacterial small subunit ribosomal RNA", at positions 144 to 353 of the family's 1533-position model. The record is from RNAcentral.